RNAcentral lists this non-coding RNA (113 nucleotides) under Megasphaera cerevisiae DSM 20462. RNAcentral describes it as "Bacterial small subunit ribosomal RNA". It matches the Rfam family "Bacterial small subunit ribosomal RNA", at positions 1421 to 1533 of the family's 1533-position model. The record is from Rfam by way of RNAcentral. Lineage: Bacteria; Bacillati; Bacillota; Negativicutes; Veillonellales; Veillonellaceae.
CCGAAGCCGGUGAGGUAACCGCAAGGAGCCAGCCGUCGAAGGUGGGGGCGAUGAUUGGGGUGAAGUCGUAACAAGGUAGCCGUAUCGGAAGGUGCGGCUGGAUCACCUCCUUU